CCUUAGCCCCGAUUGGAGCGGCAUCCUUUUAAAUUGUCACAUUUCGACUCCGCUUAAUAUGACAAUUUAAAAGAUAGAGCGAAAAGCGGGACCAUGG
Molecule: small RNA, 97 nt
Filed under: Flavobacterium enshiense DK69
Lineage: Bacteria; Pseudomonadati; Bacteroidota; Flavobacteriia; Flavobacteriales; Flavobacteriaceae
Description: Flavobacterium sp. DK69 Flavo-1 RNA
Rfam family: Flavo-1 RNA
Source: Rfam by way of RNAcentral